This is an RNA transcript of Magnolia sinica, 1395 nucleotides long. It is a transcript of the gene named mitogen-activated protein kinase kinase kinase YODA-like, with no coding region annotated. The record is from RefSeq and is a predicted model, not a curated record. NCBI's taxonomy places the organism in Eukaryota, Viridiplantae, Streptophyta, Magnoliopsida, Magnoliales, Magnoliaceae. The transcript is spliced from 3 exons.
UAGAAAUAACCAACCAAAUCAAAAUACAAACACAAUUUUUAUAUGAAAAACCUUUGUGACAAAAGAACCACGGCACGGUACAGAGAGACAAAGAUAUCUAAUGUAGUCAAAAUCUUAGAGUUAUACCACUCAUCUUUUCUGAUUAAAGAAGGAACCCAAUCUUCCCUUACAAUGCAUAAUCUAAGAAAAACCUACCUUUUAAGAAAAUCAUUUCCUAAGUUCUUAUAAGUGCAGAAAACCCUCUCACCUUACAAAACCCUUGCCCCUUUGAGCGAAUUCAUUUAACUACAUUCCAAUGCCCUUUUCCCGGAUUCCACCAUACGUCUAUUGACUACGCUAACCGCUUGUGACAUUUCUAGCCUUGUGUAAACCAUUGCAUUCGUAAGACUCCCCACUACAUUCAUGUACAGCACUCAUGACAUGUCUGAUAUCUCCUCUCUUGUGAUGGGAGAUGACUUUGAUGAUAACUUAAAGUGAUUGUUGUGCUAUGCCAGCAUUCAGACAACAGACCUCAAGAUAACUGAGGAACUUUUCGAUUUCCAUGAGGCAUAGCUUCCAAUGAUGUGUAUCAAGAUCAGAUUCAGCAGUUCCUAAUAGCAAUGAAGUUUCAAUGCCAUUGGGAAAGAACUGUAUAUUGUUAUAUUCAUCAAUCAUCACAGAGGAAAAUGGAAAAAAUGAAAAAAAAAAACAAUAAAUAAAUAAAAUCUUAAAUAGGGAAUUUGGAGUAUGGAGGACUAGCUCUCCAUCAGCUGUCUCUGGAUAUGGAGGGGCUGGCAAUCCAUCAGCUUCGAGGGGCAGGGGCAAAAACUCAUUCAUCAACCAGUGAUAGUCCUAUGCCGAGGACAUGUCCAGUAUCUCCCAUUGGAAGCCCUCUCCUCCACCCAAGAUCUCCUCAACAUAUGAAUGGAAGGAUGUCCACUUCUCCCAUAUCCAGUCCUAGAACUACCUCUGGGUCGUCGACCCCUUUCAUCACCUCCAGCAGUCCGCAUUCCACCAUGAUGGCUUUGGAAGCACGCCAAGGUCUCCGAACAGUCUGUACCCUAAUGGCUCCACCUAUCACGAGCCCAAGCCCGGCUUCUUCCGAGCAAUGCAGCCAGGUGGCCCUCAUGCCUUCCAGGAACUAAUUGCUUCUGAAAAUGACAUCCUUGGAAAGCCAUUUGGAAGACCGGCUCAUGGCAGCGAUCCCUGGGAACUGUAUGAUGGGCAGCCAGUGUUGGCCGAUCGUGUGUCGUCGCAGCAGCUCUUGAGGGAUCAUGUGAAGUCGAACCCUGCACUUGAUCUUACCAGUCCAUCCUUGCCAAUGCUUGGCCGAUCCAAUGGCAUCUGAUUUGACAUGGGCAAACUAUCAGAGCAUGCCUGUUUUGAUCAUCUUGAGUUAAUUUUCUUUUCUUGAUU